This 777-nucleotide ribosomal RNA is filed under the name uncultured bacterium. Its description in RNAcentral is "bacterial SSU rRNA". It matches the Rfam family "Bacterial small subunit ribosomal RNA", at positions 104 to 864 of the family's 1533-position model. The record is from RNAcentral.
GGGUGAGUAACCACGUGGGGAAUCUGCCUAGGAGUUGGGGGAUAACAUUCGGAAACGGAUGCUAAUACCGCAUAUCUUCUUAGACCGCAUGGUCUAUGAAUGAAAGACGGCUUUGCUGUCGCUCUUAGAUGAUCCCGCGGCGUAUUAGUUAGUUUGGUGGGGUAAAGGCCUACCAAGACCAUGAUACGUAGCCGACCUGAGAGGGUGAUCGGCCACACUGGGACUGAGACACGGCCCAGACUCCUACGGGAGGCAGCAGUAGGGAAUCUUCCACAAUGGGUGAAAACCUGAUGGAGCAAUGCCGCGUGAAUGAAGAAGGUCUUCGGAUCGUAAAGUUCUGUUAUUAGAGAAGAACAAGUCAAGGAGUAACUGUCUUGACUUUGACGGUACCUAACCAGAAAGUCACGGCUAACUACGUGCCAGCAGCCGCGGUAAUACGUAGGUGACAAGCGUUGUCCGGAAUUAUUGGGCGUAAAGGGAGCGCAGGCGGUUGGAAUAGUCUGAUGUGAAAGCCCACGGCUUAACCGUGGAAGGUCAUUGGAAACUGUCCAACUUGAAUACAGAAGAGGUAAGUGGAAUUCCAAGUGUAGCGGUGAAAUGCGUAGAUAUAUGGAGGAACACCAGUGGCGAAGGCGACUUACUGGUCUGUGAUUGACGCUGAGGCUCGAAAGCGUGGGUAGCAAACAGGAUUAGAUACCCUGGUAGUCCACGCCGUAAACGAUGAGUGCUAAGUGUUGGAGGGUUUCCGCCCUUCAGUGCUGGAGUUAACGCAUUAAG